UGCCAGCCGCCGCGGUAAUACGGAGGAUCCAAGCGUUAUCCGGAAUCAUUGGGUUUAAAGGGUCCGUAGGUUGAUAAUUAAGUCAGAGGUGAAAGUUUGCAGCUCAACUGUAAAGUUGCCUUUGAUACUGUUUAUCUUGAAUUAUUGUGAAGUGGUUAGAAUAUGUAGUGUAGCGGUGAAAUGCAUAGAUAUUACAUAGAAUACCAAUUGCGAAGGCAGAUCACUAACAAUAUAUUGACACUGAUGGAUGAAAGCGUGGGGAGCGAACAGGAUUAGAUA
This 279-nucleotide ribosomal RNA is filed under the name uncultured bacterium. Its description in RNAcentral is "partial 16S ribosomal RNA". It matches the Rfam family "Bacterial small subunit ribosomal RNA", at positions 506 to 784 of the family's 1533-position model. The record is from RNAcentral.